GCCGAAGUGGCGGAAUUGGUAGACGCGCAUGAUUCAGGAUCAUGUCGGGGCAACCCGGUGGGAGUUCGAGUCUCCCCUUCGGCACCA
Molecule: transfer RNA, 87 nt
Filed under: Acidobacteriota bacterium
Lineage: Bacteria; Pseudomonadati; Acidobacteriota
Also listed under: 1 other name
Description: Acidobacteria bacterium (marine sediment metagenome) tRNA-Leu
Rfam family: tRNA
About the family: Transfer RNA (tRNA) molecules are approximately 80 nucleotides in length.
Source: RNAcentral